This 469-nucleotide ribosomal RNA is filed under the name uncultured bacterium. RNAcentral describes it as "SSU rRNA". It matches the Rfam family "Bacterial small subunit ribosomal RNA", at positions 26 to 518 of the family's 1533-position model. The record is from RNAcentral.
AGGACGAACGCUGGCGGCGUGCUUAACACAUGCAAGUGGAGCGACGAACCAGGGCUUGCCCUGGGGCAGAGCCGCGAACGGGUGAGUAACACGUGGGUUACCUGCCUUGAUGACCGGGACAACCCGAGGAAAACUCGGGCUAAUACCGGAUGUGCCCGCAAGGGGAAAGGAAGCUUCGGCCUCCGCAUCAAGAUGGGCCCGCGGCCCAUUAGCUUGUUGGUGAGGUAACGGCUCACCAAGGCUUCGAUGGGUAGCUGGUCUGAGAGGACGAUCAGCCACACUGGGACUGAGACACGGCCCAGACUCCUACGGGAGGCAGCAGUGGGGAAUUUUGCGCAAUGGGGGAAACCCUGACGCAGCAACGCCGCGUGGAGGAUGAAGCCCCGUUGGGGCGUAAACUCCUUUCGACCAAGACGAUAAUGACGGUACUGGUGGAAGAAGCACCGGCUAACUCUGUGCCAGCAGCCGC